GAUGAACGCUGGCGGCGUGCCUAAUACAUGCAAGUCGAGCGAACAGACGAGGAGCUUGCUCCUCUGACGUUAGCGGCGGACGGGUGAGUAACACGUGGAUAACCUACCUAUAAGACUGGGAUAACUUCGGGAAACCGGAGCUAAUACCGGAUAAUAUAUUGAACCGCAUGGUUCAAUAGUGAAAGACGGUUUUGCUGUCACUUAUAGAUGGAUCCGCGCCGCAUUAGCUAGUUGGUAAGGUAACGGCUUACCAAGGCAACGAUGCGUAGCCGACCUGAGAGGGUGAUCGGCCACACUGGAACUGAGACACGGUCCAGACUCCUACGGGAGGCAGCAGUAGGGAAUCUUCCGCAAUGGGCGAAAGCCUGACGGAGCAACGCCGCGUGAGUGAUGAAGGUCUUCGGAUCGUAAAGCUCUGUUAUUAGGGAAGAACAAAUGUGUAAGUAACUAUGCACGUCUUGACGGUACCUAAACAGAAAGCCACGGCUAACUACGUG
Molecule: ribosomal RNA, 497 nt
Filed under: uncultured bacterium
Lineage: Bacteria
Description: partial 16S ribosomal RNA
Rfam family: Bacterial small subunit ribosomal RNA
Source: RNAcentral